RNAcentral lists this ribosomal RNA (818 nucleotides) under uncultured Chloroflexota bacterium. RNAcentral describes it as "bacterial SSU rRNA". It matches the Rfam family "Bacterial small subunit ribosomal RNA", at positions 92 to 929 of the family's 1533-position model. The record is from RNAcentral. Lineage: Bacteria; Bacillati; Chloroflexota.
CGAGUGGCGAACGGGUGAGUAACACGUCGGUGACCUAACCUGGAGAGGGGGAUAACGGCUGGAAACGGCUGCUAAUACCCCGUACGCUGGUUGCGAGAGUGAUCAGGGAAGGCGGAAGUCGCUCCAGGGGGGGCCGGCGGCCUAUCAGGUAGUUGGUGAGGUAACGGCUCACCAAGCCGACGACGGGUAGGGGGCGUGAGAGCGUGACCCCCCACACGGGCACUGAGACACGGGCCCGACUCCUACGGGAGGCAGCAGUGAGGGAUAUUGGGCAAUGGGCGCAAGCCUGACCCAGCGACGCCGCGUGGGCGAAGAAGGCCUUCGGGUCGUAAAGCCCUUUUCCACCUGACGAGGAAGGACGGUACGGUGGGACGAAGUCACGGCUAACUACGUGCCAGCAGCCGCGGUAAAACGUAGGUGGCGAGCGUUAUCCGGAAUCACUGGGCGUAAAGGGCAUCUAGGCGGCCUGGUCAAGUUGCGUGUGAAAGCCCUGCGCUCAACUGGGGGAGGACAUGCGAGACUGUCGGGCUGGAGGGUCAGAGAGGGACGCGGAAUCCCGGUGUAGUGGUGACAUGCGUAGAGAUCGGGAGGAACACCCGUGGCGAAGGCGGCGUCCUGGCUGACACCUGACGCUGAAGUGCGAAAGCGUGGGGAGCGAACGGGAUUAGAUACCCCGGUAGUCCACGCUGUAAACGAUGGUGACUAGGUGUGGGAGGCGAUAAAACCCUUCCGUGCCGCAGACAACGCGAUAAGUCACCCGCCUGGGGACUACGGCCGCAAGGCUAAACCUCAAAGGAAUUGCCGGGGGCCCGCACAAG